Molecule: ribosomal RNA, 330 nt
Filed under: uncultured eukaryote
Lineage: Eukaryota
Description: partial 18S ribosomal RNA
Rfam family: Eukaryotic small subunit ribosomal RNA
Source: RNAcentral
CCCUUAGAUGUUCUGGGCCGCACGCGCGCUACACUGAGCCCUUCAUCGAGUUUACAACCUUGGCCGGUAGGUCUGGGUAAUCUUCUCAAAGGGGCUCGUGCUGGGGAUAGAUUAUUGUAAUUUUUAAUCUUCAACGAGGAAUUCCUAGUAAACGCAAGUCAACAGCUUGCAUUGAUUACGUCCCUGCCCUUUGUACACACCGCCCGUCGCUACUACCGAUUGAAUGGCUUAGUGAGCCCGAGGGACUGUUGCACCUAGAGGGUUUUCUCUCCAGGAGCAGCCGGGAACUCGGUCAAACUUGAUCAUUUAGAGGAAGUAAAAGUCGUAACA